CGGUGAGGGUGCUGCAGACCUGGCAGGCACUGAAACUGCAACUCGGACAGAAACGACCCAGCGGAGGAGCUGGGCGCGGGGCGCCGUGCGCAACAUCCCUGGGCGACUGGGGGCGGUCGCCGCCCAGCGCGGCGGCCCUACCUCGGCCCCCGGACUCGGGCCCCGGGCGCGCUCGUCCGGUAGAGACCUCCCAACCCUACGCAUUUCGCGGCGGCUCUGGUGCGGGGAAUGCGAGCGCGCCAGCUCCAGGUCACCGCCGUGGAGCAGCCGCCUGUAGGAAAGCGAGGAGAGGCGAGGGGGCGGCAGCCUCUGCCCAAAGUAAGUGCAGCAGAAGUUUGCAUCGGCUUCCCCGUCGCUCCCCUGGAGUGAGUGGGAGGCUUAUCUCCUGCCCUCGUUCUCUGAGGAUAGCAGACUUGCCGGCGACCCUCGCCCGGAGAGAAGGGUGAACCUGCUUUGUCUUUCCCUGAAUACAAUGAAAGUGGUUGGACCGUCCCAAGUGUUACAUGUAUCACAACUUCUCCAUCUGCAGAUGCUCCCCACUCACCCCUCCAGUCUGGUCCAGUAUUGAACACACAGAAGACUCUGUGAUUUGAUGCUGUAAGUCAAUGCAGAAAGCUGAUCUAGUUUACUAGGAGCAGCUUUUUAAGUCUGCAUCUAUUGUAUAAAAUUUGUUUGUAUGCACAUAACAACAAAGGAACAUUUAUUUGACUAAACUUAUAAAGUGAAGUGAAGUGAAAGUCGCUCAGUCAUGUCUGACUCUUUGCGACCCCAUGGACUUAUCCAGUCCAUGGUAUUCUCCAGGCCAGUAUAAUGGAGUGAGUAGCCUUUCCCUUCUCUAGUGGAUCUUCCUGACCCGGGGAAGAACAGGG
Molecule: long non-coding RNA, 869 nt
Filed under: Bos indicus x Bos taurus (hybrid cattle)
Lineage: Eukaryota; Metazoa; Chordata; Mammalia; Artiodactyla; Bovidae
Description: lncRNA (ENSBIXG00000017270.1)
Source: RNAcentral